UAGCUCCAGCCUUGGCAGCACAUAUACUAAAAUUGGAACGAUACAGAGAAGAUUAGCAUGACCCGUGCACAAGGAUGACACUCAAAUACAAUAACAUCUGUCUU
Molecule: small nuclear RNA, 104 nt
Organism: Sorex fumeus (smoky shrew)
Lineage: Eukaryota; Metazoa; Chordata; Mammalia; Eulipotyphla; Soricidae
Source: RefSeq, a predicted model, not a curated record